UAGGGAAUCUUCCACAAUGGACGCAAGUCUGAUGGAGCAACGCCGCGUGAGUGAAGAAGGUUUUCGGACCGUAAAGCUCUGUUGUUGGUGAAGAAGGAUAGAGGUAGUAACUGGCCUUUAUUUGACGGUAAUCAACCAGAAAGUCACGGCUACUACGUGCCAGCAGCCGCGGUAAUACGUAGGUGGCAAGCGUUGUCCGGAUUUAUUGGGGCGUAAAGCGAGCGCAGGCGGAAGAAUAAGUCUGAUGUGAAAGCCCUCGGCUUAACCGAGGAACUGCAUCGGAAACUGUUUUUCUUGAGUGCAGAAGAGGAGAGUGGAACUCCAUGUGUAGCGGUGGAAUGCGUAGAUAUAUGGAAGAACACCAGUGGCGAAGGCGACUCUCUGGUCUGCAACUGACGCUGAGGCUCGAAAGCAUGGGUAGCGAACAGGAUUAGAUACCCUGGUAGUCCAUGCCGUAAACGAUGAGUGCUAAGU
This 474-nucleotide ribosomal RNA is filed under the name uncultured bacterium. RNAcentral describes it as "partial 16S ribosomal RNA". It matches the Rfam family "Bacterial small subunit ribosomal RNA", at positions 355 to 821 of the family's 1533-position model. The record is from RNAcentral.